GGGGCUGUAUUGGUUUUGACAGCAUAGGUUACGGUAGGUGUAAGCAUGCAGUGCGUUGUAUCAUUAGCACUUAAAUCUGAAGAUUCAAACAUUAAAUGGCAAUACUCAGUAUGCCAUGGCUGCCUAAUCAGUGAUUAGUUAGUCAUUAGGGCCGCGUUGAGCCGGUUGUUCUGUUGCCACGCUCCGCCGCCGACUCAAAAAACAAAUACAGAAUGCUGUAAUGGAAGGCUGUGACCAUUGCAAAAGACUAUGCAGCUAAGCGCAGGGUCGGUUUGUUCAUUUCCUGCUUUGUGCCGACAAAUAAUAAUGGAAUAAGCAUGUAGAAAGCUUAUGGUAAUUGUGUUUGGACAGGGGUUCGAGUCCCCUCAGCUCCACUA
This 377-nucleotide transfer-messenger RNA is filed under the name Panacibacter microcysteis. RNAcentral describes it as "Standard tmRNA". It matches the Rfam family "transfer-messenger RNA". From Rfam's summary of the family: Bacterial tmRNA, also known as 10Sa RNA or SsrA, is named for its dual tRNA and mRNA-like properties. Its role is to liberate the mRNA from a stalled ribosome. The record is from Rfam by way of RNAcentral. Lineage: Bacteria; Pseudomonadati; Bacteroidota; Chitinophagia; Chitinophagales; Chitinophagaceae.